RNAcentral lists this ribosomal RNA (253 nucleotides) under uncultured bacterium. RNAcentral describes it as "partial 16S ribosomal RNA". It matches the Rfam family "Bacterial small subunit ribosomal RNA", at positions 524 to 776 of the family's 1533-position model. The record is from RNAcentral.
UACGGAGGGGGCUAGCGUUGUUCGGAAUUACUGGGCGUAAAGCGCACGUAGGCGGCUUUGUAAGUUAGAGGUGAAAGCCCGGGGCUCAACUCCGGAAUUGCCUUUAAGACUGCAUCGCUAGAAUUGUGGAGAGGUAAGUGGAAUUCCGAGUGUAGAGGUGAAAUUCGUAGAUAUUCGGAAGAGCACCAGUGGCGAAGGCGACUUACUGGACACAUAUUGACGCUGAGGUGCGAAAGCGUGGGGAGCAAACAGG